Molecule: ribosomal RNA, 447 nt
Filed under: uncultured bacterium
Lineage: Bacteria
Description: bacterial SSU rRNA
Rfam family: Bacterial small subunit ribosomal RNA
Source: RNAcentral
GCGCCAGACUCCUACGGGAGGCAGCAGUGGGGAAUAUUGCACAAUGGGGGAAACCCUGAUGCAGCGACGCCGCGUGAGCGAUGAAGUAUUUCGGUAUGUAAAGCUCUAUCAGCAGGGAAGAAGAUGACGGUACCUGACUAAGAAGCCCCGGCUAACUACGUGCCAGCAGCCGCGGUAAUACGUAGGGGGCAAGCGUUAUCCGGAUUUACUGGGUGUAAAGGGAGCGUAGACGGCGAUGCAAGCCAGAUGUGAAAGCCCGGGGCUCAACCCCGGGACUGCAUUUGGAACUGUGUGGCUGGAGUGUCGGAGAGGCAGGCGGAAUUCCUGGUGUAGCGGUGAAAUGCGUAGAUAUCAGGAGGAACACCGGCGGCGAAGGCGGCCUGCUGGACCGCGACUGACGUUGAGGCUCGAAAGCGUGGGGAGCGAACAGGAUUAGAUACCCGAGUA